GAACAAAUAAAAGAAGUGAAAUAACUAGCAACUAAUGAUAUCAGAGCAAGUAAAGUUCUAUCAUCUACACCAAAGUAAAGAAAAAAAGCUAGUCAAUAGGAGAAACCAUAAGUAGUACAAUAUCAGCCUCAAGUACAAAAAUGGUGGUCUCUAUACAUAUACGGGUACAACUCUCAACCUCUCACAAAAAGAAAACACGAGAGGUAGACCACCUAUCGAACGAUCCCUCGGUAAGCACGCUAGCCCGAGGCGAUACCCUUUC
This 262-nucleotide long non-coding RNA is filed under the name Ananas comosus (pineapple). Its description in RNAcentral is "long non-coding RNA (ACOM_LNC044479)". The record is from RNAcentral. Lineage: Eukaryota; Viridiplantae; Streptophyta; Magnoliopsida; Poales; Bromeliaceae.